Microcebus murinus (gray mouse lemur) is the source of this 2208-nucleotide non-coding RNA. The record is from RefSeq and is a predicted model, not a curated record. Lineage: Eukaryota; Metazoa; Chordata; Mammalia; Primates; Cheirogaleidae.
UCACUCUAGCCUGGGCAAUUAAGUGAGACUCUGUCUCAAAAAAAUAGAAAAUAAAUAAAUAAAAGAAACCUGGACAAGACACAGUAAUAGCCACUCAAACCCAGACCACAGCAGGGAGAGAAGAACGGGGACAGCAGCGACCUCACGCCCACAGAUGGGACAGAAAGCCCAACACAGGGCCUGCGUGGCACAGCUGCUAAGGAACCGUGCACCUUACAGAGCUGGGAACAGCCCAGAUCAGAGACCCAAGGGUGCUGGAGGGACUGACACCCACUGCCACCUCUCCUAGCCCCCCCUGAGACAGACAGACCGACACCCCAGCACCCGCCACAGUGUCAAUCCCAAGCGGGAGCUCUCUGAGGGCCAAGUUGGGAACUAUUAGAAUCACCUAAUGAAUCUAGGGCCACCAUGUCCCUGCCUCCCACCCUGAAUCACACAGCCUGCGUCCUAGUGUGCGCGGCUGUGUUCAGCCUUCACUGUGGCCGGGAGAUUCACCCGGGCCAUGGAGCGCAUGGGGCGUUCGCUCCCUUUUCAGUGCUGCGUACUAUUCCACUGCGAGCCACUCCACUGUCCUGCUGACAGGCAGCUGGUGCUUUUCAGCUUGGAGCUCUUGCAAAUAAGGCUGCUGUGGAUGUUCUCGUAGGUGCCUUUUGGUGGACGUAUGGACCUAUUUCCCGUGGCUACGUAUCUAGGAGCAGAGCUGCUGAGUCGUAGCACGCGUGAUGUUCAGCUGUAGCUCUCCAAAGCGCUUAGCCCGAUUCCCAUUCCCACCAGCAGCGAGCGCGAGUUCCUGUCUUUACCUUUCUUUCCUCUUGGUCUGCAUCUGGCGCGCCCUGCGUCUCCCUGUGUCUGUCUCCCUCGUUCCUGGUCCUCCCUGUAUUGGUCCUCAGCUCCCCCAUGUCCCCCCCCCCAAACCAGCUUUGACUUUUGUGUGACUCGGACCUCCCCCUCCUCCCCCAUAGGAUCCCACCACCCUCCAUGGCUCCCCUGGCCUUGGUGGGGGUCGCGCUCCUCCUGGGGGCUCCCCCAUGUUCCGGGGCGGCCACCCCGACCCCCUCCCUGCCGCCUCCCCCCGCCAAUGACAGCGACACCAGCACAGGGGGCUGCCAGGGCUCCAACCGCUGCCAGCCGGGGGUCUUGCUGCCCGUGUGGGAGCCCGACGACCCGUCGCUGGGGGACAAGGCGGCUCGGGCGGUGGUCUACUUCGUGGCCAUGGUCUACAUGUUCCUGGGCGUGUCCAUCAUCGCCGACCGCUUCAUGGCGGCCAUCGAGGUCAUCACGUCGAAGGAGAAGGAGAUCACCAUCACCAAGGCCAACGGCGAGACCAGCGUGGGCACCGUGCGCAUCUGGAACGAGACGGUGUCCAACCUCACGCUCAUGGCGCUGGGCUCCUCGGCGCCCGAGAUCCUGCUGUCCGUCAUCGAGGUGUGCGGCCACAACUUCCAGGCGGGCGAGCUGGGCCCGGGCACCAUCGUGGGCAGCGCCGCCUUUAACAUGUUCGUGGUCAUCGCCGUGUGCAUCUACGUCAUCCCGGCUGGCGAGAGCCGCAAGAUCAAGCACCUGAGGGUCUUCUUCGUCACCGCGUCCUGGAGCAUCUUCGCCUACGUCUGGCUCUAUCUCAUCCUCGCCGUCUUUUCCCCAGGAGUGGUCCAGGUGAGCAAGGAGCCGGGGCACUUUCUGGGUGCGUGUGUGAUUUGUGUGUUUGCAGAAAUGCAUGCUCACAGCCCAGAGGGCCACCGACCACAGGGCCGGAGUCCUGCUGGUGCCACCCGGCCACGGCUCUGGAAGGUUCCGCAAGCGCUCAUCCGCCCACAGGGGCCACCCUUUCGCACCACAGCGCACUCACCCGGAAGGGAUUCCCGACACAGCGCACUCACCAGGAAGGGAUCCCCACCACAGCGCACUCACCCGGAAGGGGUUCCCACCACAGCGCACUCACCCGGAAGGGGUCCCCACCACAGCGCACUCACCCGGAAGGGGUUCCCACCACAGCGCACUCACCCGGAAGGGGUCCCCACACAGCCGCACUCACCCGGAAGGGUUCCCACACACAGCAACACUCACCCGGAAGGGAUUCCCACCACAGCGGAACUCACCGGAAGGGUUCCCACCACAGCGCACUCACCCGGAAGGGAUCCCACCACAGCGCACUCACCCGGAAGGGAUUUGCACCACAGCACACUUACCCGGAAGGGAUUCCCACCAUAG